GCGCGCCAUGGCCUUCCGGCCGGUGGCCGCGGGUUUCGGGAAUCCGCUGAUCGAGGAGGUCACCGCGCCCGACGUGCC
This 78-nucleotide transfer RNA is filed under the name Acrocarpospora corrugata. Its description in RNAcentral is "tRNA-Pro". The record is from RNAcentral. Lineage: Bacteria; Bacillati; Actinomycetota; Actinomycetes; Streptosporangiales; Streptosporangiaceae.